Molecule: transfer RNA, 72 nt
Filed under: Camelus bactrianus (Bactrian camel)
Lineage: Eukaryota; Metazoa; Chordata; Mammalia; Artiodactyla; Camelidae
Also listed under: 2 other names
Rfam family: tRNA
About the family: Transfer RNA (tRNA) molecules are approximately 80 nucleotides in length.
Source: Rfam by way of RNAcentral
GAGGGUAUAGCUCAGCGGUUUAGUGCAUGCUUAACAUGCGUGAGGUCCUGGAUUCAAUUCCCAGUACCUCCU